CAAUAUCUCUCUAACCUCUUUUUUCUCUUCUGUAGCUCGUAGCCACCACCGCUUAUUCUUUAGGCAUUCUUUCUCAACUUGUCUCAACUGCUCUUUAAUGGUUUCUAGGCAGUGGUCAGCUUGCUCCAUGCCUAUUUUCACUUUCUUUCUCUUAUGUUCUUCUUUGUCGACCUUUUCCUCAGUUGCUUCAAGCUGGGCC
RNAcentral lists this long non-coding RNA (199 nucleotides) under Lathyrus oleraceus (garden pea). RNAcentral's name for it is "Pisum sativum (pea) long non-coding RNA (PSAT_LNC036988)". Lineage: Eukaryota; Viridiplantae; Streptophyta; Magnoliopsida; Fabales; Fabaceae. The record is from RNAcentral.